RNAcentral lists this ribosomal RNA (397 nucleotides) under uncultured bacterium. Its description in RNAcentral is "bacterial SSU rRNA". It matches the Rfam family "Bacterial small subunit ribosomal RNA", at positions 30 to 429 of the family's 1533-position model. The record is from RNAcentral.
AUUGAACGCUGGCGGCAUGCCUUACACAUGCAAGUCGAACGGCAGCACGGGAGCAAUCCUGGUGGCGAGUGGCGAACGGGUGAGUAAUAUAUCGGAACGUGCCCAGUCGUGGGGAUAACGUAGCGAAAGCUACGCUAAUACCGCAUACGAUCUAUGGAUGAAAGCGGGGGGAUCGCAAGACCUCGCGCGAUUGGAGCGGCCGAUAUCAGAUUAGGUAGUUGGUGAGGUAAAGGCUCACCAAGCCGACGAUCUGUAGCUGGUCUGAGAGGACGACCAGCCACACUGGGACUGAGACACGGCCCAGACUCCUACGGGAGGCAGCAGUGGGAAUUUUGGACAAUGGGCGCAAGCCUGAUCCAGCAAUGCCGCGUGCAGGAUGAAGGCCUUCGGUUGUAAC